Molecule: non-coding RNA, 79 nt
Organism: Podarcis lilfordi (Lilford's wall lizard)
Lineage: Eukaryota; Metazoa; Chordata; Lepidosauria; Squamata; Lacertidae
Source: the annotation of a GenBank genome assembly
GACCAUCCAAAGAUAGCUCAGUUGGUAGAACAUGAGACUCUUAGUCUCAGGGUCAUGCGUUCAAGCUCUAUGUUGGGCA